This 433-nucleotide ribosomal RNA is filed under the name uncultured bacterium. RNAcentral's name for it is "partial 16S ribosomal RNA". It matches the Rfam family "Bacterial small subunit ribosomal RNA", at positions 29 to 507 of the family's 1533-position model. The record is from RNAcentral.
AACGAACGCUGGCGGCAUGCCUAACACAUGCAAGUCGAACGAGACCUUCGGGUCUAGUGGCGCACGGGUGCGUAACGCGUGGGAACCUGCCCUUAGGUUCGGAAUAACUCCCCGAAAGGGGUGCUAAUACCGGAUAAUGUCUUCGGACCAAAGAUUUAUCGCCUUUGGAUGGGCCCGCGUUGGAUUAGCUAGUUGGUAGGGUAAAAGCCUACCAAGGCGACGAUCCAUAGCUGGUCUGAGAGGAUGAUCAGCCACACUGGGGCUGAGACACGGCCCAGACUCCUACGGGAGGCAGCAGUGGGGGAUAUUGGACAAUGGGCGAAAGCCUGAUCCAGCAAUGCCGCGUGAGUGAUGAAGGCCUUAGGGUUGUAAAGCUCUUUUACCCGGGAUGAUAAUGACAGUACCGGGAGAAUAAGCUCCGGCUAACUCCGUG